GUGGGUAGGCAGGUUAGAUAGGAGAGGGUAGGUUAGAUAGGUAGUGGGUAGGCAGGUUAGAUAGGAGAGGGUAGGUUAGAUAGGUAGUGGGUAGGCAGGUUAGAUAGGAGAGGGCAGGUUAGAUAGGUAGUGGGUAGGCAGGUUAGAUAGGAGAGGAUAGGUUAGAUAGGUAGUGGGUAGGCAGGUUAGAUAGGAGAGGGUAAGUUAGAUAGGUAGUGGGUAGGCAGGUUAGAUAGGAGAGGGUAGGUUAGAUAGGUAGUGGGUAGGCAGGUUAGAUAGGAGAGGGCAGGUUAGAUAGGUAGUGGGUAGGCAGGUUAGAUAGGUAGUGGGUAGGCAGGUUAGAUAGGAGAGGGUAGGUUAGAUAGGUAGAGGGUAGGCAGGUUAGAUAGGAGAGGGCAGGUUAGAUAGGUAGUGGGUAGGCAGGUUAGAUAGGAGAGGGUAGGUUAGAUAGGUAGUGGGUAGGCAGGUUAGAUAGGAGAGGGCAGGUUAGAUUGAUAGGUUGUGGGUAGGCAGGUUAGAUAGGAGAGGGGGGCUUUGACAUUUACUUUCU
Oncorhynchus tshawytscha (Chinook salmon) is the source of this 550-nucleotide long non-coding RNA. The record is from Ensembl. NCBI's taxonomy places the organism in Eukaryota, Metazoa, Chordata, Actinopteri, Salmoniformes, Salmonidae.